CCCGCAUCAUAAUCCAGAUUACGGUUCGGGUCGGUUCGACUAUCUGAAGGGUUCUAACUUUCUAGGGUUUAAGCCAUGCGCUAAACUUCUGAGUUUCUCUACAGAUUGCCAAUUACGAAGACGAUGACCUCCAUGGUUGCACUGUCAAGAAGGCUUUGCCGCUCUCUCCUAUCGAAUUCAAAAGCUUCUCAUCAUUACGAUAUCCUCCCAGUAACCUAUUGCACUAAUAACCUUUCCUUCCGCUCGGUAUCAGACAUCACUGAGUCCGGUAUUGAAUCGGACUUGUACACGGAAUUGGACUCAAAUUCAGUAACUAAUCAACCUUCUCUCUCACCGUCCUCGUCCCAAUCACCCACCCAACCGAGACCGGUCUAUAAUCGACCUCUGGAAAAUGGCCUCGAUGCUGGCAUUUAUAAGGCUAUAUUGGUGGGUAAGGUGGGGCAAAGUCCAUUGCAGAAGCAGCUGAAGAGUGGAAGAACAGUGACGCUGUUAUCAGUUGGGACAGGGGGUAUUCGUAAUAAUCGGAGACCCUUGGCUAACGAGGAACCCAGAGAGUAUGCAAAUCGGUGCGCAGUUCAAUGGCAUCGGGUUUCGAUUUAUCCUACGAGACUGGGCAAUAUCGUCAUGAAGCAUGUUGUGCCCGGUUCAAUUUUGUAUUUGGAAGGGAACUUGGAGACCAAAAUCUUCACUGAUCAAGUCACUGGUCUUGUUCGACGUAUUAGAGAAGUUGCGAUUCGUGGCAAUGGACGGCUUGUAUUUUUGGGGAAGGGAGAAGGUAAUGCUCAGGAGUCCACCCCAUCAGAAUUCAGAGGUGUUGGCUAUUACUAAGAGACGUUUGCAGUUUUGUCAUCUGAAGUUGCAGGGGUCAUGGGCAUAGUUAUGGUUAGACAGAGUGAAUGCUGUCUUUUUGUGAAACAAGCAUCAGUACUUUCAAUGCGCAAGACAAUCUUUGAUGGGUUAUUAGAGGCACAUGUGUGAGCAAUGGAGCCACAUAAUAAAGGGAUAAUAAGGUGACGGAUAAUCUACAAAAAGCAACGUGAAGGUGACUGAGAUGAUUGCUGGAGGGAAACUUGCUUCUCAUCAAACUGCUUUUGGUGUAGAAAAAUUGUUCCGAACGUUAGAAGAAAAGUUAAUGUAUUUGAAUGUCUUUUUCUAUAAUUUAACCUAAAUUAAACAAUUGAAAGGUGUCACUUAACAUUUCUCGUGAUCAAAUUGGUGAUGUGUUAAAAUUAUUGCUCCGAAUAGAAUCAUAAUGUUUCGUACUACAAAA
Molecule: RNA transcript, 1270 nt
Organism: Cucumis sativus (cucumber)
Lineage: Eukaryota; Viridiplantae; Streptophyta; Magnoliopsida; Cucurbitales; Cucurbitaceae
Gene name: single-stranded DNA-binding protein, mitochondrial
Exons: 6
Source: RefSeq, a predicted model, not a curated record